GGGAAGGCACAAGGGAACAGGAAGGCACAAGGGGACAGGGAAGGCACAAGGGGAACAGGGAAGGGGACAGGGAAGGCACACAGGGAGCAAUGGAGGCACAAGGGGACAGGGAAGGCACAAGGGGACAGGGAAGGCACAAGGGGAACAGGGAAGGGGACAGGGAAGGCACAAGGGGACAGGGAAGGCACACAGGGAGCAAUGGAGGCACAAGAGGAGCAGUGAAGGGGACAGGGAAGGCACAAGGGGAGCAAUGGAGGCACAAGGGGACAGGGAAGGGGACAGGGAAGGCACAAGGGGACAGGGAAGGGGACAGGGAAGG
Long non-coding RNA from Zonotrichia leucophrys gambelii, 319 nucleotides. RefSeq lists it as uncharacterized. The record is from RefSeq and is a predicted model, not a curated record. NCBI's taxonomy places the organism in Eukaryota, Metazoa, Chordata, Aves, Passeriformes, Passerellidae. The transcript is spliced from 3 exons.